Stegostoma tigrinum is the source of this 577-nucleotide long non-coding RNA. RefSeq lists it as uncharacterized. Lineage: Eukaryota; Metazoa; Chordata; Chondrichthyes; Orectolobiformes; Stegostomatidae. The transcript is spliced from 3 exons. The record is from RefSeq and is a predicted model, not a curated record.
GCAAGCAAAAGACCGAGGGAAUGAUCAAUGCUGGGCUAUCUGGUCCUUUUCGAUCCCAACUCUGACCUCUUUCACUAUAUCUAAGUUAAAUCAGCAGCCGGGUGUUAAUUAUGAGAACAGCACCAUUGGAAAAAUGAAGCGCAAUACUUUUUCUUUGGUUCGAAGGCACACAUGCAACAUUAAAGAAAUAUCCAUUAUUUGUGGAUUAGAGACAAAGGCAACAAAUGCCCAGAUAACUGUCAUUCCACUUCAUUCACCUCAGGAAUAAUAGAUGAGUGGAAACUCAAACCUACAGUAAGCUAUCUGUUGGAGCCUGGGAGGUACAUCUGGAGUCAACACUGGCCUUGAAAUUCUGCUCACCUUCUGAGUGAUUUUUAGCAUGGGAUUUCCUUCAGCUCAUCGGGACUGUUGUUCUUGUUGAAGGAUUUAGCGCAUGAUAAUGUAUCCGUAAACUUCCUAAUGAAGACAGUCCUUGUUGCCAUUCCCCUGAACUCACUCUCCCUCAGCUGAUGACAUUGUGAUGUAUACUGGGAUGUAAUCACUAUUCUUUUUCCCCACAACCACCACCAGUGAGUCU